UCCAAGUCAUUUCCAUCCGGCCAUUCGUCAAUCAGUUUCUUCGAAGCAAUUUUCAUGAUAUGGUAUCUACAGAGACGAAUGCCACGCAUUCGCAGCCAAUUUCUGUUGCUGUUGCUGCAAGUGUUGCUUUUGUUCUGGGCGUGCGUGUGCUCCGUGUCGCGUAUAACAGAUCAUCGACAUCAUUGGUGGGAUGUGUUGGCCGGAUCAGCAUUGGAGUUUUUUUCGCUGUAAUGACGUGCAUUUUCCUGUGUAGAGACUUCAAGCGAAAAUCACGCGCUCAGGAAGUUAUUCUUAACGGUAAUGGUGACGCACGGCACACAAGCGUACGGCGAUUGCUGUCGGAUAACAGUGUCAAGGAUGAAGUUACUAUGAAUCAUGUAGUCGUAACCUGAUUCCUGAGUUAUUUAAGUAUUUGAACUUUUCUACUUAUUUAGUCAAAAUGAAUGGGAGAGAGAGAGAGAGAGAGAGAAUGUAGAUUUUUGUGUGGAUGGGUGAGUGUGAGAGGCAGUGAAUGUGCGAUUAAGAUUUAAUUUAUUUAUAACUCAGAGAAAUGCUAGGUUCCCAGCACUGCAAGCGAUAGAACA
Bradysia coprophila is the source of this 584-nucleotide long non-coding RNA. RefSeq lists it as uncharacterized. NCBI's taxonomy places the organism in Eukaryota, Metazoa, Arthropoda, Insecta, Diptera, Sciaridae. The record is from RefSeq and is a predicted model, not a curated record.